RNA transcript from Sapajus apella (tufted capuchin), 842 nucleotides. It is a transcript of the gene named 60S ribosomal protein L19 pseudogene, with no coding region annotated. Lineage: Eukaryota; Metazoa; Chordata; Mammalia; Primates; Cebidae. The transcript has 2 exons. The record is from RefSeq and is a predicted model, not a curated record.
AUGGCAGAAGAAAUGAAAAGCCAAAAUUCACAACUAAGUCAACAGAUUGUCCCAAAGGCUGAAAAAGCUAAACAACCCAAGAAAGAUAUUAAAACACAGCUUAGGCAAAUGAAUAAGGAAAACCUUACCCAAAGGAGCAAAGCUCUUUCCUUUGCUGCUGCGGCCGCAGCCGUGAAUACGCUCAGGCUUCAGAAGAGGCUUGCCUCUAGUGUCCUCCACUGUGGCAAGAAGGAGGUCUGGUUGGACCCGAAUGAGACCAAUGAAAUCGCCAAUGCUAACUUGCGUCAGCAGAUCCGGAAGCUGAUCAAAGAUGGGUUGAUCAUCCACAAGCCUGUGACCGGGCUCGCUGCCGGAAAAACACCUUGGCCUGCGGGAAGGGCAGGCACAUGGGCAUAGGUAAGUGGAAAGGUACAGCCAAUGCCGGAAUGCCAGAGAAGGUCACGUGGAUGAGGAGAAUGAGGAUUCUGUGCCGGCUGCUCAGAAGAUACCGGGAAUCUAAGAAAAUUGAUCGCCCACAUGUAUCACAGCCUGUACCUGAAGGUGAAGGGGAAUGUGUUCAAAAACAAGCGGAUUCUCAUGGAACACAUCCACAAGCUGAAGGCAGACAAGGCCCACAAGAAGCUCCUGGCUGACCAGGCUGAGGCCCGCAGGUCUAAGACCAAGGAAGCAAGCGCCGUGAAGAGCGCCUCCAGGCCAAAAAGGAGAUCAUCCAAAACUUUGUCCAAGGAGGAAGAGACCAAGAAAUAAAAGCUCCCCCUUUGUCUGUACAUACUGGCCUCCGUGAUUACAUAGAUCAGCCAUUAAAAUAAAACGAGCCUUUAAAAAAAAAAAAAAAAAAAAAA